Long non-coding RNA from Mesocricetus auratus (golden hamster), 465 nucleotides. RefSeq lists it as uncharacterized. The record is from RefSeq and is a predicted model, not a curated record. Lineage: Eukaryota; Metazoa; Chordata; Mammalia; Rodentia; Cricetidae. The transcript has 3 exons.
GGAAGCGACUCGUUUCCCAGUGGCCGUAAUGAUGGUUUAAACAAUUCUGUCUGGAGACGGUUCUCCUUCUUUCCAUGUUAACAAAGUUGGAAGAACAGCAGCAGCACUACGUUACAAGGUGGAUAAUAAGACCAGAAGGGUGUAGAUUUAUGGCUCCACAUGCACUCCCUGAGGAUGAUCAGAGCAAACAAUGAAAAUCACUCCAGAAGCAGAGAAAAUGGAGGGAGCUGAGCAAUAGCUUCUAGAAAAACAUAACCCUUAUGGACAACCAAAUGGCUACCAACGAUAAGGAACAAUGAGUUUAAAAAUUGAGACACUACUGACUAGGCUCAACGUUGAUUAUAAUAAUUUGAAAGGCACAGAAUUUGAACAGCAGCUUCCCUCUUGGAUCCAUCGUCCCUCUGGUUAUGACUGUUAGUGUUACUCGGUAAAUCGGAAAAAUAAAAUGGCCGUAACCAUUACGCA